Molecule: ribosomal RNA, 227 nt
Filed under: uncultured bacterium
Lineage: Bacteria
Description: partial 16S ribosomal RNA
Rfam family: Bacterial small subunit ribosomal RNA
Source: RNAcentral
CUGAACCAGCCAAGUAGCGUGAAGGAUGACUGCCCUAUGGGUUGUAAACUUCUUUUAUACGGGAAUAAAGUGAGCCACGUGUGGCUUUUUGUAUGUACCGUAUGAAUAAGGAUCGGCUAACUCCGUGCCAGCAGCCGCGGUAAUACGGAGGAUUCGAGCGUUAUCCGGAUUUAUUGGGUUUAAAGGGAGCGUAGAUGGAUGUUUAAGUCAGUUGUGAAAGUUUGCGG